UAAUCGCAGGCUCGUAAUAAAGUUCUCCUGUUAAACUAGUAUUACAUAAACCAUUUAUGGUAAAUUCCACUUCCAGCACAGCUCCCUGUUAAGUGUCUGUAGGGGAGCGAACAUAAUUGAGAAAAAGCAAUUAUAUAUGUGAAAGAUCGAUUAUAUCUGAUGCCAUGGCUUUGAAGGAAGUCCUGGGGAAAAAUCAGUCUGACUGUGCUAGGACUGUGUUAUACCUGUAGCAUCUAAGAUGCAAAUCCGAGCAAAGGAAGCCCAGCCUGGUUUCUCCUGUGUGCGGGGACUUUUGGGAGCCCCCAAACCUCUCUGCUGCUGGCAGCUGCAGAGGAUUGUCUGGGUGUGCGAUCUGCGGGGAUGGAUCAUCUGCGGUAAUGGAUCAUCUGCCGGGGAGCCACCUACCUUGCUGCUUCAGCCGCUGCAGUCUUCCGGAUACCAAGGGGACGAUUUUGAAGCAGGUCGGAGGGGACGCUUAGGAGCAAUCCUGUCUACUGCCCUGGAGAGCAAGUUGUUUCAAUUCUCAACCAGACCAUCAACAGGAUCACUGGCAGAGCCAACAUUAAAUCCCUCCAAGGCUUCUUGGAAUCCUAUUGGAUCCAAUAACCUCUUUGGGUGGACCAUUCUAAUAGGCACCUCGCUCCUGCAGAGAUGGAAAGUGGUUGUAAGUCCAACCUUAACCAGAUGGUGGUCUGUCCAUGACAAUGGGGAGAUCGUAGGAGUCCCCACCCAUGGAACACCACCCUGUUCAGAGUAAAAGACCAGAUCAAGCGUGUGACCUGCAAUAUGCGUCGGUCCAGAGACCACUUGGGAUAGGCCCAUAGUUGUCAUGGCCGCUAUGAACUCCUGAGCUACCCCGGACAGAUUGGUCUUGAAAUGAACAUUGAAGUCCCCCAUGACCAAAAGUCUGGGAGAGUCCAACGCAAGUCCUGCAACCAAGUCUGUGAGCUCAGUAAGGGAUUCCGUUGGGCAGUGGGGCAAUACCACCAACAGAAGUCCCAAUCUAUUCCUGGUCCCCAAACUCAAGUACACACAUUCAAUAUGGUACGAUACCCUAACAGGGACCCUGGUAAGGGAGAUGUUAUCCUUAUAGACCACAGCCACUCCAUCUCCCUGCCCACAUCCCUUCACCCGCUCCUCUACAGAAUAUCCUGGAGGAAGAAGCUGGGACCAGACUGGGACAUUAGCCUCCCCCAACCAAGUCUUGGUAAUACACACCAGGUCAGCCCCUUCAUCCAUAAUCAAAUCAUGGAUGAGUUCAGGUUUAUUUUGAACCGACCUGGUAUUGCAGAGGAGCAAGGUAAGGCUAUGUGGGUUGUUGGCAGUGCUCCCCGAGAUAAAAGAGCUGGCAGGACAGCCGUAAGGGGAGACAGCUAUUAAGUUUCUGACUAACCUCUGCAAUGUAGAGUGUGUGUACCCAGCUGUGUAGGGUCCCAGCUAACUUUGCCUGUACCCAGGGACUGUAUUGCCUCCAUCUUCUUGGCCCCUCAACUGGGUGAGUACUCAGGCCUGCCCACGGCCAGUGGGAAGGUCCAACACCCCUUUAUCCCUAAGUUUUUGGUCUAAAUAGGGCCUCCUGGUGGGUUUGGGGGGAGGUAUAUUGUAUUAGUUUUAUUGUAUUUCUGUAUUGUGUGUUGAAUGGUAUAGAUGGAUUUUGUGCAGGGUACUAGGUUUUUUAAAUUUAUUUUUAAAUUAAGCCGGUGAGGGAGGUGGGGGGGAAGGGAAGGCAGGGG
Molecule: long non-coding RNA, 1733 nt
Organism: Hemicordylus capensis (graceful crag lizard)
Lineage: Eukaryota; Metazoa; Chordata; Lepidosauria; Squamata; Cordylidae
Exons: 3
Source: RefSeq, a predicted model, not a curated record